This 483-nucleotide ribosomal RNA is filed under the name uncultured bacterium. RNAcentral describes it as "partial 16S ribosomal RNA". It matches the Rfam family "Bacterial small subunit ribosomal RNA", at positions 30 to 507 of the family's 1533-position model. The record is from RNAcentral.
AUUGAACGCUGGCGGCAGGCCUAACACAUGCAAGUCGAGCGGAUGAAGGGAGCUUGCUCCUGGAUUCAGCGGCGGACGGGUGAGUAAUGCCUAGGAAUCUGCCUGGUUGUGGGGAUAACGUCCGGAAACGGGCGCUAAUACCGCAUACGUCCUGAGGGAGAAAGUGGGGGAUCUUCGGACCUCACGCUAUCAGAUGAGCCUAGGUCGGAUUAGCUAGUUGGUGGGGUAAAGGCCUACCAAGGCGACGAUCCGUAACUGGUCUGAGAGGAUGAUCAGUCACACUGGAACUGAGACACGGUCCAGACUCCUACGGGAGGCAGCAGUGGGGAAUAUUGGACAAUGGGCGAAAGCCUGAUCCAGCCAUGCCGCGUGUGUGAAGAAGGUCUUCGGAUUGUAAAGCACUUUAAGUUGGGAGGAAGGGCAGUAAGUUAAUACCUUGCUGUUUUGACGUUACCGACAGAAUAAGCACCGGCUAACUUCGUG